GCGGUGGAGCAUGUGGUUUAAUCGAUGCAACGCGAAGAACCUUACCUACUCUUGACAUCCAGAGAACUUGGCAGAGAUGCCUUGGUGCCUUCGGGAACUCUGAGACAGGUGCUGCAUGGCUGUCGUCAGCUCGUGUUGUGAAAUGUUGGGUUAAGUCCCGCAACGAGCGCAACCCUUAUCCUUUGUUGCCAGCGAUUCGGUCGGGAACUCAAAGGAGACUGCCAGUGAUAAACUGGAGGAAGGUGGGGAUGACGUCAAGUCAUCAUGGCCCUUACGAGUAGGGCUACACACGUGCUACAAUGGCGUAUACAAAGAGAAGCGACCUCGCGAGAGCAAGCGGACCUCAUAAAGUACGUCGUAGUCCGGAUUGGAGUCUGCAACUCGACUCCAUGAAGUCGGAAUCGCUAGUAAUCGUAGAUCAGAAUGCUACGGUGAAUACGUUCCCGGGCCUUGUACACACCGCCCGUCACACCAUGGGAGUGGGUUGCAAAAGAAGUAGGUAGCUUAACCUUCGGGAGGGCGCUUACCACUUUGUGAUUCAUGACUGGGGUGAAGUCGUAACAAGGUAACCAAGGGCGAAUUCCAG
RNAcentral lists this ribosomal RNA (586 nucleotides) under uncultured Serratia sp. Its description in RNAcentral is "bacterial SSU rRNA". It matches the Rfam family "Bacterial small subunit ribosomal RNA", at positions 929 to 1516 of the family's 1533-position model. Lineage: Bacteria; Pseudomonadati; Pseudomonadota; Gammaproteobacteria; Enterobacterales; Yersiniaceae. The record is from RNAcentral.